GCCGGCCUAGCUCAAUUGGUAGAGCAACUGACUUGUAAUCAGUAGGUUGGGGGUUCAAGUCCUCUGGUCGGCACCA
This 76-nucleotide transfer RNA is filed under the name Staphylococcus aureus. Its description in RNAcentral is "tRNA-Thr(tgt)". It matches the Rfam family "tRNA". Rfam says of the family: Transfer RNA (tRNA) molecules are approximately 80 nucleotides in length. Their secondary structure includes four short double-helical elements and three loops (D, anti-codon, and T loops). The record is from RNAcentral. Lineage: Bacteria; Bacillati; Bacillota; Bacilli; Caryophanales; Staphylococcaceae. RNAcentral also lists the same sequence under 3 other names.